UCGGGCAUUGUGGGACACUGAAAUGUAUCCAAAAGAUUCAAGAAAAUGUGUACUUCUACAACAUUGCUAGGAGAGUGAGAAAGCAAAUAUCUACAUGUGACAGGUGUCAGAGAGUAAAAGUUAGCAAUCAAACUUGCAGAGGAUAUAUGCAAAACAUCUUGCCAAAGGAACAACUACAACUUGUAGCAGUUGACCUUUAUGGAUCAUUGCCUAAGGCUAAAGGAGGAUUUUGUUACAUAUUUGUCAUGGUGGAUCUUUUUUCAUAAUUCAUUAAACUAUAUCCAUUGAAGAAAGCAACAAGUAAGAACAUCAUUUUGAAAAUUAGAAGAGACUAUUUCACAAAGGUGGGAAAACCAAAGAGCAUGCUCUCUGACAAUGGAGCACAAUUUACUUCUAAAAUUUGGAAAACAUUUGUGGAGGAUGAGAACAUAAACCAUAUUCUGAUCUCUGCGUAUCACCCGUCCAGCAAUCCGGCUGAACGUUACAUGAGAGAAAUAGGGAGAUUAUUUAGAACUUAUUGCAACAAAAAUCAUGUGAGUUGGAUAGAGUACGUAGACAGCUUUGAAGAUAUACUGAACAGCUUACAACAUUCGUCUACUGGGUUCUGCCCAUAUGAAAUACUGUAUCAUAAGAAACCGCCAAAUCUGAUCAACGAAUUAAUUGAAUUCCCAGCAUGUAAAGCUAUGAGUCCACAGGAAAGAGAAGAAAUAGUCAAGAAAGUAAUGGAACACAGGGGAAACUAAGAAAAAACAAACAUGACAAGAAGUUGAAACCUACAAAUUUUAAAAUUGAUGAUCUGGUCCUGGUGAAAACACAUGAAAAAUCCAAAGCGAUAAGCAAUGAAUUAAAGAAAUUCUUUGACAUCUAUAUUGGCCCAUUCAAAAUUCAGUCUAUGCCACACCCAAAUGCAUAUAGAUUAGUGUACCCAAAGUCAGGAAGACUAUUUGGUUUACGUAACAUAACUGAACUGAAACCUUAUAAACAAGUGUCAAAUACCAAGAAAAAAUAAGAUAAUGUAAAAGCCCUCAGGAGGAUACAUCCUGUAUCAAGUGCGUGCCGAGCACUAGGUCUCCGAGCUAUGUAGCAUUCUAUUUUCUUCUUUUCGUUUUCGGAUGCUACAUCUUUUACUUAUCUAUAAACCUAUAACGAAGUUAUCUCUCACUGAAAAUACUAGCCAUUCUUUUAGUAUAAGUUUUUUUGUAUGUCAUAUGAUUAUUGAGUGACAUUGUUUGAAAAUAAAUAAAUAAAUUUAACUGUGUAUAAAAUUUGAAUCCUCCCUUGACUAAUGACUAAUAAUUCUUUAAGCAUUUCAGGCAAUAGUUAUUACUAUAAUUCCUGAUUAAUAUGUGGUGUAAAACUUUUCCAGAUCCAUAUGUGUGUGUACUCUAUGUUAUGUAAUAUUGUAAAUAAAUUACUGUUAGCAUUUUCAUUACAGAAUAGAAUCCAAGGGGAUAUAAGAUAAUGGAGGUCAUUGUGGUUAUGGUCUGUAGAGUAUGUAUUUGAUUUGUGGAUGGUUCUUUGAAGAUUAUAGGCUUGGUCAUGAUUUUAUUAGUUUGCCAAUGAGAUAUACAAAUGGACAAUGUUAAGGAUGUACACGUGUUACUAAAUGGACAAGUUGUACUGUGAAAAAUGAGUAAGUUUGUCAUUACAAGGUGGUGUGCUAAUGAACAAUCAGUGAGUUUGUGUUUGAUAUGAUAAAGAGCUAAAGGAUAUCUGGGACAUUUAAUAUGCUGUAUAGUGUAUUAUGCUGAAAUAUUAAUCAAAAAGAAAGGAUACAUAAAUAAUUCAUUUUUGUUCAUGAACUUUAAGUUGUAUAUAGCUAAAUCCUUACAGUUUAGAGAUGCUUAAUUUUGUGUGAUUUUGUCUAUAAAUAUACUAAUAGUGUAGGAUAGUAUGUUAAUGAUUUUGAUACAUUUAUACCUGAUGUGACCUUAAUUGUAACCUGCACGAGUACCUUGCGAAAUGAGUUCAUCCCUGUUCCUACCUAGAGAACUGUAUCAAAGAUCCUUACCUGACCUGAAAAAAAAAAAAAAAAAAUUAAGAAACUGAAAAACUAAUAGUGGACUGUGCUAUUGCAGUGUAGAGACUGCCAGAAGCAGAGGGGCUGCAGACACAAGAUGGACAGCGCAUUGGGACGGAUGAUUGUGAGCUGCCAAUUCAUUAAGAUAUGCAACAUGCACCAGUGACUGGAGUAACAGCUAAGAAAAAAGAAAUUCUAUUUUGGAGGGUAUUUAGCAGCCAUUCAUACAAGUUACACUUGUAAGAGUGGCUGGGGGGGUGUAUAACAAUACAGCCCGACCCGUGGGUUAACUGAAAUGACUGAUACCAACUGUUUUUUUUUUUUUGAUAUGUAACUGUGUAGUUAUUGGACAAUUCAGUGCCCUAGGGAUUUGUAUGUGUACCUAUGUGUAUUUAUAUAUUAGUCUGUCGCAUUUACUAGUAAUAUUCUGUAUUCGUUGUGAAAAGACUUUUAUUGUCGUCAUUGUUGUCAUUAACGGAAUUACAUAAUAAAUGCCAAAUUAAAUGAUUCAUCAGCAGGGUGAGCUAAGAAAUGUAAAGUAACGGAUAAUAAGAUACUGUAGAAGUAUUGGUAUAAGUGGUCAGAGCCACUAAUUACGAUCAUUUGGAACAAGAAAUGUAUUAGUAUAGAAAAAGCUUCAUUAUCUUGAGAAACAGCUUUUUAAGUGAUUACCAAGCAAUGUAUUCGUACUUGUUAUUCAUUUUAUAUCCUAUUUUGAAAUUAAUGUACUUUGUAAACACAUUUUGAUUAACUCUCCAAUUGUUUGCAUCACACAAUGUUCAGAUUUUUCGUAUUUCAGGGCGUAUUUGUAACUUCCUUGUAUACAGUCUGAUAGAAAGCAGAAUUUGUGAUGUCAUUAAAUGUUAGUAUCUGAAACCGAACUGUAAUUAAUUAAAUAACUCAAAAUUCACAAAAGACAUUAUUGUAAUUAGAACCAUAUCGAUUUUUAAUAUUUAAACCUAGUGAUGACACUACAAAAAUUACGUCAAUUAAUAUUGUUAAUUUUUCCUUAUUCGGAUGUAAUGUCUGUUCGCAAACAUUUUGUACAUUUUAAUUGUAACUUUGAAAUUCUUCAGAAUUAAUAAUGCAAUAUUUUGUGAGUGAUUGUUAAAAUUCUAUAUAAGCAGAGAUGAUGCGAGGUCAGAGUCAGUCAGUUGUUUGUGAUGAUUUCGGCUGGAGAGUCUGUACAAGUGACGCCUGUAAAUAAAUAAUGUGAAGUGUGAAGAAUUCUCCGAUUUCUUCAUCUAAAAAUGAACCCCCAAAAGUUAAGUUUAUAAAUAUAAAGCUGCUCGACGAACAAGUAGCUUUAUAACCUUUUACACUUCAGGAAACAGACAGAGGCAAUGAGGUGACGACAGACAGACAGAGGCAACGAGGUGACGACAGACAGACAGAGGCAACGAGGUGACGACAGACAGACAGAGGCAACGAGGUGACGACAGACAGACAGAGGCAACGAGGUGACGACAGACAGACAGAGGCAACGAGGUGACGACAGACAGACAGAGGCAACGAGGCGACGACAGACAGACAGAGGCAACGAGGCGACGACAGACAGA
This is a long non-coding RNA of Schistocerca gregaria, 3579 nucleotides long. RefSeq lists it as uncharacterized. NCBI's taxonomy places the organism in Eukaryota, Metazoa, Arthropoda, Insecta, Orthoptera, Acrididae. The transcript has 3 exons. The record is from RefSeq and is a predicted model, not a curated record.